Felis catus (domestic cat) is the source of this 6795-nucleotide long non-coding RNA. RefSeq lists it as uncharacterized. Lineage: Eukaryota; Metazoa; Chordata; Mammalia; Carnivora; Felidae. The record is from RefSeq and is a predicted model, not a curated record. The transcript is spliced from 7 exons.
GCUGAAAUCAAGAGUUGGUCACUCCAUCUAUUGAGCCACCAGGCACCCCAAGUUUAUCAUGGCAAAAAUGUCCAAUGAAGCUUAUCUGGAUAUCAUAAUUAAAUUAAGGUUAAAAAUAAAUAAUAGAGAUAUUAAUUCCCUGACUUAGCUAAUGAUGUUAAACUGUAAAUUAAAAAAUGCUCCUAAAAAUAACUUUCAAAUGUAAAUAAAUCUUUAGAUAGUCUCAUAUUUUUAUACAAACAAUCAGCAGUUGUCAAACAAAGUAAUUGUAGAGUGUAUUGUGGUCUUACUGGGUGUGACCCCUGUGCAGAUCCCGCUGUGUUACUCACUGUGCCUUUUUAGAAACACUAAAACUGUUCAGAAACACAAGUGCAUUCAUCAUGAGCUUGGGUGUCAUGACAAUGUCAAAUUGCUACAAAAGUUUCUAAAUACUUUCCUCCUGCACUUAUAUUGUCACAGCCUGUAAGAAAUUCAUGGACUGGUAGCACUUCGAGUUUCACUGCUAUGGCGCUCAGUUAUGGUUCCCGAAGAGGGAUAUACUACACAUUGUGAGAUGCCUUUAAAGCACCAUUUCCCAUUUUUAAAUUUGGUAAGCAUUACUUUGCCACAUAUGCAAGAUCUUUGGAAAAAUCUGACUCCAUCUCCAGUGCGAGAGCUGGGCGAAGAAACUGGGCCACAAUUUAGAGGAAGAUAAAACGGAGCACACCUUAAUCCUUACAUCUUCAGUCAUCCCGUAAUUACCUCCUGCUACACCAUCUGCAACCCACACACAAAAAAGGGUGUAGAGAGUGAUACAAUCAGAUAACACAGUAACAACAGGAUCAAAGAUGGCCAGUGGUGGAGUUUUGGUUGGUGUCUAUGCAAUCUAUGGGUAUGCCUUAAGUUUCAACAGCAUUGGUUACAAAUGAGGUCACAUGUGUAUUACCACAGCAAAAUCCCAACAACUGUGGCUGAAGUUCCAAGAGGUGGUCGUUAUUCAACCCAUGGCCAGACUUACUGCUUGGAAUUGCCUUCCAUUCAUUUUCCAGCAAAUCAACAUCAUGAACACGCAUUCGAGACAAAUGAGAAAGGGUUCUGAAUGAUUAUUUUCUCCUUCUGAAGCUUAAAUAAGCUUUCCUGGAAAGAUUUACUACCAGUGAAGAUAUGCUACCAAAUGUUAAAGAUAUCACUUGCCAACAAAACAAGGCAAACAUAUGAAGAAGAAGAAGGAGAAGAAGAAGAAGAAGAAGAAGAAGAAGAAGAAGAGGAAGAGGAGGAAGGGGAAGAGGAAGAGGAAGAGGAAGAGGAGGAGGAGGAGGAAGAAGAAGAAGAAGAAGAAGAAGAAGAAGAAGAAGAAGAAGAAGAAAGGAGGAGGAGAAGAAAGAUGGACUUUAGAGACAAGUUUAGAGGUAUCUGUUAAUAUCUAGGUACCUGGGCAAGCUCUGGUAAAUUUCUGGCCUUUUCUGCACCUCAGCUUCAUUAUGAGUAAAAUAGAGGUUUAUGAGGAUGUAUCCCUGACAAAUAGUAGGUACUCUGUAAACAGUUUCCUUCCUACCUCAAUGCUUUACUAGCCUCAGCUUCAUGUUCUAAGAGGUUUUCUCAGUUCAAGUUUCUUCCCAUCGACCACAGGUGCUACAUUCACUCCUGUUUUGUCCCCCAUUUUCUCUUGCCCAAAUCUGCUUUAGAAAACAUUUUGAAGUAGUUUAAACUCAAUUUCCAAGAUAUCUGUGUUAACUAUUUUUAGUAAUUGUGGAUUAUUAAGUGAAUGAUUAUCUGACAAAAUGAGAGAGGAUCCUGGAGGGUAAGGUAGACCUUCCUGAAUCCAAAACAUUUGCCUAUGUUGGCCAGUAUCCUCCACUGAAUACAUUUUCACUAAGGAGAGAUGGAUAUAUACAAUUAACAACAAUUCCUUAAAAUAAAGGUGUGAACUUAGACAUUAGACAAUGCAAGAGUGGCAUUGAUUGAUUCUGUCCAAAGUCAGAUGGAAAGGAGGAGUGUCAGUGGGUAGGAUUGAUGCUUAAAGAGUAUCAUUUAAGCGGUGUCUUGAAAGAUGAAUAGGAUUUUUCUAAGUUUAGGAAGAAAAGAAAAUGUCUCAAUUAAUUUACCCAAAAAUAUAUUACUUUAUUCUAACUUGUGUUUCCACCUGAAAACUCUGGUCUAGGAAUGUUAUGUAGUCUUUGUACAGAAGUCUUUACUGUUGUCAGUUUAUAAAAGCUGACAUUCCAUGACUAGCUAAUAAUUUGAGUCAUGACUCUAUUGCUAUCUUAAAUGACUCACACAGAAAGAGAAAAUGUGAAAUUAAAUUGUCUUGAAAUCAUUUCAUUUGGAUUACUUUAUUUCUCAGAAAUUUUUAGACUAAUAUAUAUCUCAAAGGGAAACCAUACAAAAAUAUGGCCAAUUUGGUAACUUGCUGAGUUCUAUAUUUCUAUUUAAUUUUUAUAUUAAAAAAUACAAUGUACUUUGGAAUUAAAAGUGAUUCAAAUUUUAAUAAGAUAAAGAUAUGACACAUUUUGAUAUUAGUGUAUUUAUUAACAUGGAUAGUCACAAUGAAUGACAAAUGUAUAAAAAGCUCAUAGAAUACAUAUUCAUAUAUAGUAGCCACAUGUACAUAUUUUACUAUAUAUAGCAUACUACGUACAAUCUUUUUUUCUGGAGGCUUUUACAUAUAUUUAAGUGUAAAAAUCUUAAAUACAGCAUCCAGUGAAUUUUACAGAGUGACCCAUAUAUCAAUGUAAGGACCACCUGACUCAAGAUAUAGAACAUUACCAUUAGCCCAGAAGCAACCUCAUGGUCCUUUUGUAGUCGUAAACCUCUACAAAGAGAAUCAAAAAUAAACCAUCAAGACUUUGUCACCAUAGAUCAAUUGUGUCUGUUUUAGAAAUUUAUGGAAAGGAAAUCAUACCGUAUAUAUUCUUUUGUUUUUAGUAUCUUUCACUAAACAUAAUGUAUGUUGUUGGAUAACAGGGAUGUACAGAUAUAUAUUAUGUAUAUAAUACAUAUGAAUCAAUUAAAUGCAUAUUUUCUUUGAUGACUAUAUACUUUCUACAGGUGUAGAUGGAUAUUUGAGAUUUUGUUCCCCAUUUUUGACUAUUAAGAAUAAUGGUUCUGUAGACAUUCUUGAUUUAAUGGUUAAAAGAAUGGAAUCUGGAAUCCCACAGCUUAACUUCAAAUCCCAAUUUCAAAACAUAUUACCUGUGUGAUCUUGAACAAGUUAUUUAGCUAUAUUUGCCUUAGUUUCUUUAUCUUUAUAGUGGGUAAUUAUAUUUACACUGCUGGUUAAUCUGACCAUUCAUUAUAUUAAGAAUGCAAAGUCCCUGAAACAGUGCCCAUGGUAAGAACUCAAUAUCUGUUUGUUUUCCAGGUACUUUUUCUUUUUGCCUUGAAUUGUAAGUCUAUUAUUAAUGUUGCCAUUUCUAUAUAUGUUAUUUUUAUUUCUGUAGUGCAUUUGUGUCUACUCCCUUUCUUUCAACAAUUCUGUAUUAAUCUUUUAAAAUUUUUGCUUGAACAUGCAUAUGUGGAAUCCUUUCAGAAGAAGUUUAUGGAUAAUAAGCUUUUUGAAUUCUUGAAUGUCCAAAAAUGCUUCUAGAGUCAGUGCCAUCACAUCAGAAGGUAGUUUAACUAGAUGCACACUUCUAAGUUCUAAUGAGUAUUUUUCUUCAGAACUUUGUUAUCCUGUAGCUAAUUAGCUGGUGUUCUGUCCCAAACUUGCUCUUUCUUCCAUAGCCCCCAGCUCUUUUCUUAGCACUCUUCCAGAGUUAUUCUAGACUUGGCGGGGGAGCCUCUCUCCACGCAUGGGAUUACAGAUGCCUCAGCCCUUUGGGCUUCCACUUUCAAUCAGGUCCCUCCACUGAGCCCCUUGUUGCAUGGUAACACGCUUUUUCACCUCUCGCACUGCUAUGGAUUUAUUUUAUGCCUUUCUUGUUUUUUCAGGACAAUUUCGAGAGAAAAGCAGGAUAAUAUCUUGAACAGGAAAUAGGAUUUUUUUUUGGACAUAGUCCUUAGCAUUUUACUUAUUUUAUCCUUUAUAAUUUAAUAUUGAGAACAAUGCGGCUUUUUAUUCAGAGACCUAUGCUCAUACUCUAGCCCUGCGUCCAUAAAUAGCUGUGUGCUCACAAGCAAGUAAUAGGUCCUUCUUUUAGAUCUGGUAUCCUCAUCUCUAAUAUGGCAUUAACUAUCAUGUAGUAGUAGCAAGUGUACCAAGAAAAGCAGUCAAUUAAUUUAAUACCAACCAUGCGUUUCUCUGUAAGCCUUUUGUGAAAUGGGGCCAGGGUUGGAAGACAAUGCACGGGGACUUAGAAGCUUGGGAUUCUAAUUCUAGCUAGCAUGGCCUUGUCUUGGUGAGUAAGCCCGGACAUGUGAUUCCAAGUUUUUGAGCCCCAAUUUCUCCUCAUUUUUAGAACAAAGAGGGGUUGUAUGAAACAAUUAAAAUCCCACAAAAUCCUUAAAAUAUCAUGUGUUUUAGAAGCCUAUGUUUCUAAGCUUAAAUUUGAGAAGGCACGAUUUCGCUACUGCAGAGUUAAUGUGUGUGUGUAUGUGUGUGUGUGUGUGUGCUGUGAAUGGAUAUCUGAGUGUAUGUGUGUGUUUGUGUGUGUGGUAUGUUGUGUAUGUAUGUGGGGACUCCAGAAGGAAAAUUUAUCUUUAGAGAAGACAUUAUUUUUGGUGUUGAAAUUGAAUGGUUCUUUCGGAAUGAAUUUAGCUUUGAUCUAUUUAUGUUGGCAGAACUCUCAGGAAGUGUACUCAGUGGAGAGAGGGACUGUUGACUGGGUGUUUGAACAGAAGCCGUUUUGCAUAUUUAUCUGUCAUCUCUUCUGGCCCUGAGGGAGCCUGAGGCUUCUGUCUGGUCUGAUUUCCCUGCCGGGGAGUCCUGUGAGAAAAUGAGGCAUAAUUUACACGAAGGGAACAGAAUGUUUCAUUGACGUAUCAGCUCUCCUUCUCUCAGAGGAUGGCAGUUCAAGCUGGCCAUCACUGCGCGGGCUUGUGCGGGUGAACCUGGAGGCUGACUUAUCUGGUUUGGCAGAGUAUCAUGAUGAAAUACAGCAGAGAAUUGCUAAAUAUCCACAUCCCUGUGUGCUGUCAGGGCACAUUAUGUACUAGUAACUCUUGGCCUUUUGGGGGAUAACAAACCUCAUCUGAGACUAUGAUCAAAGGUACCAGCUAGCACAUUAAUCAUCUUUUGCUAGAUUAUGCUAUGUAAUUUCCAGAUUUUAGGGACUUAUAGCCCAAAACACAUUUAUUUCUUGCCGAGAGGUCAUAAAGUCUGCCGGGCUACCGUGAUUGUGUUCCAGACUGGUGACCAGUGGUAAGUCUGCACCAAAGUCCUGGUGCAUUUAAUCUCAAGUCCUGGGCUGAAGAAUCUACCCUUAUCUGGGGCAUGCUAUUCUCAUAGCAUAGAAUGGUAACACAAGAGAGCCCGAAACAGACUCUAGAAUAAUUUUAAAGUUUCUGCUUAACGUGAUCAACAGCACAUCUACUCACACAUCCCAUUGUCAAGAGUAUGUCACCUGGUUAAGCCUAAAAAUCACUGAGGCAGGGAUAUAUACUCUUCCCACAUUAUUCAUUAGCAGAUCUUAUAACAUUGGACAGGUGUUAUCAUACUGUUGACGUGGCGGUGGGGGUGUAAAUGUUGAGAACAAAUAAUUUGGUCUAUCACUGUUUCCACAGGAAAUUGUCACUGCAAGCAUAGGGGUUCCAAGUAAUAGGUUAUGUCUCUUAAGCAAAUAGCCAAAUGGCAAAGUAGUACUUUUCUUCUCAAAGUAGUUCAACAUGUUUGGUGAAUAGUCUUGAAUAAAUUGUAUCAGGCAGGACUUUUCAAAAGACAUUUUUUUCCCUCUACUACUGCUUGACUUACUGAAUUUUUGCAUUUGUGAACAUUUCCAUGGAAAAGAUUUGUUUUUGGAAUGAGAUAUCUAGAUGUAUAGUAGGGAAAAGACUGAUAAUUUGGUCUACUUGAAAAAUUCUUGAGUGACAAUAAUGCCUUAAUUUAAACUUAGAAAUUGAGUUUGAAUAUUUGGUUCACAUUGUUUUUUUCUAGUAAACAUGAGAGGGUAGUGCACUGAUUAGCUGGCUAGUGUGACCUAACACAACUCAAAUUAACCCCAGGUCACGCUCACUUAAAAACUUGCAAAAAAUUUUUUGUUGUAUUUUCUCUGACGGGGGUAAUGAAAUGAUUCUAUGCAGAGCUUCAGGGGUGGGUGGUGGACAAAGAAACAAAAACAAACAAACAAACAAAAAGCCCCACAAAAAAACACCAAAAAACUUAAACAAAUAAAAAUAGUUGAAUAAUUUGGAAACUCAAUAGCAAUGAUUCUUGUUAAUAGGAGUCAUAGCUAGAGUUAAUGUCUUAACAUUUCCAGAGGACAAAGAAUGCCUGAAAGACACCAGGCCAUAUUUCCAACGUGGUUGACUUACUCCCAAAAGUAAGCAAACCAGAAUUAUUACACUCUUUUUGAAGUUAUGUCUUCACGAUGAAGUGCAAAAUGAAAAAUGACUAAUUUUCCAGAUACGAAGGUCAAAAUAAGGUUGACCUACAGAAAUAGAAGAAAGGAAGAUUUUGGCUUAAUGUUAGCAUUUACUAAUUUAUUAACCUAUAUAACAGUUGCAUUUAAUUCAUUAAGAAUGGCCUUACCAUUUUCUAGAAAACAUUCUUUUAUUAACUAGUUUAGGUAGCUCAGUGUGAUGACUUCUUAGGUCACUUUUACCACGAAGAUUCUAUAUUUCAUUAUUUCUUUGUUUUUUCUCUUCCUUCCUUUCCUCCUUCUCUCCUUUUCUCUCCCCUCUCCUUCCUUCCUUCCUUCCUUCCUUCCUUCCUUCCUUCCU